GGAGGAAAAGAACUAACAAGGAUUCCCCUAGUAACUGCGAGUGAAGCGGGAAAAGCUCAAAUUUAAAAUCUGGCGGCCUUUGGUUGUCCGAGUUGUAAUCUAGAGAAGUGAUGCCCGCGCUGGACCGUGUACAAGUCUCCUGGGAUGGAGCGUCAUAGAGGGUGAGAAUCCCGUCUCUGACACGGACUACCAGGGCUUUGUGGUACGCUCUCAAAGAGUCGAGUUGUUUGGGAAUGCAGCUCAAAAUGGGUGGUAAAUUCCAUCUAAAGCUAAAUAUUGGCGAGAGACCGAUAGCGAACAAGUACCGUGAGGGAAAGAUGAAAAGAACUUUGGAAAGAGAGUUAAACAGUACGUGAAAUUGCUGAAAGGGAAACGCUUGAAGUCAGUCGCAUUGACUGGGGAUCAGCCUCGCUCUUCUGCGUGGUGUACUUCCUGGUUGACGGGUCAGCAUCAAUUUUGACCGCUGGAAAAAGGCUUGAGGAAUGUGGCAGCUCCGGCUGUGUUAUAGCUUCUUGUCAUAUACAGCGGUUGGGAUUGAGGAACUCAGCACGCCGCAAGGCCGGGUUUCGACCACGUUCGUGCUUAGGAUGCUGGCAUAAUGGCUUUA
Molecule: ribosomal RNA, 607 nt
Filed under: Agaricaceae sp. PA152
Lineage: Eukaryota; Fungi; Basidiomycota; Agaricomycetes; Agaricales; Agaricaceae
Description: eukaryotic LSU rRNA
Rfam family: Eukaryotic large subunit ribosomal RNA
Source: RNAcentral